AUUGAACGCUGGCGGCAGGCCUAACACAUGCAAGUCGAACGAGUGGCGUGAGUGUGAGUAAUGUCUGGGAAACUGCCCGAGGGAGGGGGAUAACUACGGGAAACGGUAGCUAAUCCCGCCUACCAUCGGAUGUGCCCAGAUGGGAUUAGCUAGUAGGUGGGGUAACGGCUCACCUAGGCGACGAUCCCUAGCUGGUCUGAGAGGAUGACCAGCCACACUGGAACUGAGACACGGUCCAGACUCCUACGGGAGGCAGCAGUGGGGAAUAUUGCACCAUGGGCGCAAGCCUGAUGCAGCCAUGCCGCGUGUAUGAAGAAGGCCUUCGGGUUGUAAAGUACUUUCAGCGAGGAGGCGUUACUCGCAGAAGAAGCACCGGCUAACUCCGUGCCAGCAGCCGCGGUAAUAC
This 406-nucleotide ribosomal RNA is filed under the name uncultured bacterium. RNAcentral's name for it is "partial 16S ribosomal RNA". It matches the Rfam family "Bacterial small subunit ribosomal RNA", at positions 30 to 526 of the family's 1533-position model. The record is from RNAcentral.